GUGGGGAAUAUUGCACAAUGGGCGAAAGCCUGAUGCAGCAACGCCGCGUGAGGGAUGACGGCCUUCGGGUUGUAAACCUCUUUUAGUAGGGAAGAAGGGAGCUUGCUCUUGACGGUACCUGCAGAAAAAGCACCGGCUAACUACGUGCCAGCAGCCGCGGUAAUACGUAGGGUGCAAGCGUUGUCCGGAAUUAUUGGGCGUAAAGAGCUCGUAGGCGGUUUGUCGCGUCUGCUGUGAAAUCUGGGGGCUCAACCCCCAGCCUGCAGUGGGUACGGGCAGACUAGAGUGCGGUAGGGGAGAUUGGAAUUCCUGGUGUAGCGGUGGAAUGCGCAGAUAUCAGGAGGAACACCGAUGGCGAAGGCAGAUCUCUGGGCCGUAACUGACGCUGAGGAGCGAAAGCAUGGGGAGCGAACAGG
Molecule: ribosomal RNA, 416 nt
Filed under: uncultured Frondihabitans sp.
Lineage: Bacteria; Bacillati; Actinomycetota; Actinomycetes; Micrococcales; Microbacteriaceae
Description: bacterial SSU rRNA
Rfam family: Bacterial small subunit ribosomal RNA
Source: RNAcentral